CGCCCCAAUUCCAAAAUCAACCAAUCAACGCGCACGUUUAGUGCGACGUCGCAACACGGUGUCCCUGCCUGUACAUCCAGUUUCAGAGUUGAUCUGCGAGAUUGAUGUACAAAACAUAUAGCGAGUCUUGACAUUUUUAAAGAAGUGCAGGGACAGAUGUCAGCGAUUGAACCGCCCCCCCUCCCUCUGCCCCGCCUCUUCCCCUCCCUAUCAAAGGCCUGGGAGUGCCGGAGUACACAUCAAUCAUCCUGAGUGACAGAUGGUAUUACAUGGACUGUGCCUUCUAAAGUCGACUGCAAGAUGUUAUUCAGAUCUGACUACAUCCCAGGUAGGAAUCAGAGGCACAACCCAGCGGCCAACCACUUCCGCCAAAGACUCGCACACCCAUGUCCUGUCUCUUCAGCUGGAGCUUCACACAACAAGCGGAGAAUACGAAGAGUGUGUUUGUGCCAAUCUGAAUAACUGGAAAAAAAAAGUUGCUUUCUAUUUAUUCCGAAUCAUUGUGCAGUUGAACGAACAGUGAAAAGACGCACAAAACCACAUUAAAUGGCGGCGCAGAUUGCUUCCGUGGCUGCAUAUAGUGCUCCGUCUUUGUGUUUUGUGCAUUUGUGUGGGUGUCGCCCUGUUCUAACCGUACAUGAACUUGAUGACUGUUUGCUUUGGAAAUUAAAUGCUAUUUCUCACAGCA
Molecule: non-coding RNA, 688 nt
Organism: Danio rerio (zebrafish)
Lineage: Eukaryota; Metazoa; Chordata; Actinopteri; Cypriniformes; Danionidae
Source: RefSeq, a predicted model, not a curated record